This 337-nucleotide unclassified non-coding RNA is filed under the name soil metagenome. RNAcentral describes it as "partial contains 5.8S ribosomal RNA, internal transcribed spacer 2, and large subunit ribosomal RNA". The stretch from base 1 to 120 matches the Rfam family "5.8S ribosomal RNA", at positions 35 to 154 of the family's 154-position model. The record is from RNAcentral.
GAUGAAGAACGUAGCGAAAUGCGAUAAGUAAUGUGAAUUGCAGAAUUCAGUGAAUCAUCGAAUCUUUGAACGCACAUUGCGCCCCUUGGUAUUCCGAGGGGCAUGCCUGUUCGAGCGUCAUUACACCACUCAAGCUAUGCUUGGUAUUGGGCGUCGUCCUUAGUUGGGCGCGUCUUAAAGACCUCGGCGAGGCCACUCCGGCUUUAGGCGUAGUAGAAUUUAUUCGAACGUCUGUCAAAGGAGAGGAACUCUGCCGACUGAAACCUUUAUUUUUCUAGGUUGACCUCGGAUCAGGUAGGGAUACCCGCUGAACUUAAGCAUAUCAAUAAGCGGAGGA